AAAAUAAGGGGCCGACUUCAAUUUUAUUACCGUUGGAGUUUAGGGUUUCCUAUUUCUACACAGUUUAGAUUUCAAUUUCUUUCGAUUUUUUCGGCGUUCUCUCCGUCUCAAACACUCUCUCCCACUCUCCGCCUUCCGCCGGAAACGGUCACCAGAACGUCGAAUUUCAGCCUAAGAUUAGGGUUUUCUAUUUCCAAGCAGUUUAAAUUUCCUAUUUCUUUGUUUUUUCGGCGUUCUCUCCCACCCCUCAAAAUUCUCUCCGUCUCAAAAACACUAUCUACCGCGCCAAUCCGCUUUCCGCCGGAAACGGGUACCGGAAGACGUCGAAUUUCAGGGUUAAUGCCGGCCCCCUAAAGUAGGAUUUGGAGGGUAAAAAAGUUGCAGCCAUGAAGCUAUGAUUGGGAAGGCAAAGUUACUGAUUUAUUCCAUUGUUCUUGGUGCUAAAAAGAAGAACCUUGCUGGUUCUCUAGAGCAACAUCCCAAUUUCGCAUUGAGCAGACAGAAAUAUUUCAGAGCACACUCCUUUAAGGACGUGCCUGUCGACUGUUAGCUGCGAAAGCUACCCUUGCUGCAUGUGUUGAUUCCAUAAGGGAAGGACCCAACGGGGAAAACUGGGCGAUCUCUCCUAGAUGAGUUUUGUAAGAAGAUAGAGACCACUUCCAAACAGCCUAGAUCACUUCCUGUUCCAGAUUCUGAACCUAAAAAAAAGAGGGGGGGUGGACAACUGAGGAAGAUGAAAGAAAUACUACUGAUGAUUUCUUCCAACUUAAACCUGCAUUUUCUUGACUUGUGUCUCAGGGUUUGGGUGUGGAAUAAGUGGCAAAUUACAUCGUUGGCUCUCAGAGCAAGCUUGCUGCCAAAGUAGCUACCUAUUAGGAAAAGUCCUGUUGGAGUUUAUGGUUGGCUUCCUAUUUCCAAGCAGUUUCCUGUUUCUUUGUUUUUUCAGCGUUCUCUCCAUCUCAAACACUUCACGCCAAUCUGCCUUUCGCCGGAAAGACGUCGAAUUUCAGGUUAAUGCCUGGCCUAAAGUAGGAUUUGGGGGGUAAAAAAGUUGCAGCCAUGAAGCCUAGGCAGAGUCACUGCUUUAUUCCAUUGUAAGUUUGCUCUCUUUCUGAGACAAUGCAGAAAAAAAGCUUAUUCCAUUGUAAGUUGCUCUCUUUCUGAGACAAUGCAGAAAAAAAGAUCAACAAAGAGAAGGGAAAAAGUAAAUUGGGAUAGCCCAGAGUCUAAAGAAAGAAAUUACCCACCUUCUCUGACUGGUAAAAUAAUUGAUGAAUGGCCCCAUGCCCAAGUGGUUCUCGAUCACUUGUUGUCAACCACCACAAGCAGCCAACAAGGCCCCUAGGCAUAUCUAGGUCACAUCAAGCAUUGCCUGGAAU
Long non-coding RNA from Ipomoea nil (Japanese morning glory), 1379 nucleotides. RefSeq lists it as uncharacterized. The record is from RefSeq and is a predicted model, not a curated record. Lineage: Eukaryota; Viridiplantae; Streptophyta; Magnoliopsida; Solanales; Convolvulaceae. The transcript is spliced from 3 exons.